This 615-nucleotide ribosomal RNA is filed under the name uncultured fungus. Its description in RNAcentral is "eukaryotic LSU rRNA". The stretch from base 186 to 339 matches the Rfam family "5.8S ribosomal RNA". The record is from RNAcentral. Lineage: Eukaryota; Fungi.
UCCGUAGGUGAACCUGCGGAAGGAUCAUUAAUGAUUGAACGUCUGUCGAGCUUGCUCACAGACACAUCAUAUCCAUAACACCUGUGCACUUGUCGGAUGGCUUAGUGAAGACCGCAAGGUUGGAUCUAUCCAUCUACUUUACAUAACAAUUCUGUAACAAAUGUAGUCUUAUUAUAACAUAAUAAAACUUUCAACAACGGAUCUCUUGGCUCUCGCAUCGAUGAAGAACGCAGCGAAAUGCGAUAAGUAAUGUGAAUUGCAGAAUUCAGUGAAUCAUCGAAUCUUUGAACGCACCUUGCGCUCCUUGGUAUUCCGAGGAGCAUGCCUGUUUGAGUGUCUUGAAGUCAUCAACCCCUCCGGUUUUUCGAAACGGGGGACGGUUGGAUAUGGGGGCUUGCUGCCGCAAGGCUGCUCCCCUAAAAUGCGUCGGUUGGACCUGUGGGUCGAACUCGUUGGGCGUUGUAUCAUCCUCGCUCUGACAGAGAUGUUCCCCUUUGGUUGUCCAUCCCCGACUCGGCCUAUGGGGAGGUGGGGCAGGUCAACUCCUUUGGAAUCUGACCUCAAAUCAGGGUAGGGACUACCCGGCUGGAACUUAAGGCAUAUCAAUAAGGGCGG